CUUUCGCUCUUGCUUUUUAUUGCCUUUUCGUGUCUUUCUGUUUCUCUCCUACCUUCUUCUUCGGGUUUUUUGUGUUUUCUCCCCUUUGCUCAAUUUCGUCUCCUCCGCUUCCUCGCGGCUUUCUCUCCUUCUGUGAAACUCUUCUGCACUCUCCUCUCUUACUAACUUUCCUCCCCUCUCUCCAAGCUCACGGCCACCUCUGCUCUUCUUCCCAGCCUCACUUGCCCUCUUCCGGGCCUGUGUUUACCUGCGUGCCCAUCUCCAAAGCUGGGCCCCCAGGCUGGUGAGGGGACAGGCUUUGGGCGGGAUGCUAGCUCUUCCUCUCUGCCCCAGAGCCGCAGCCAGAAGCCUGGAGCCCACCCUACCAAGAGCUUCCUCCACCUACUCUUCACGCGGGCCCCAUAGCAGCUGAGGCAGGGGGUCUGGCGGGCGGGCCAGUGUAGACACGGCCUAGAGGCUCACCUUCCAUGUCUCUGGUGACCGUGCUGAAGUGCAUCCCGGUCGGGGACCCUGGCAGCCAGCGAAGCUUCACCCGGUCGGAGGACCCCGAGCCCUGGUGGGCGGUGCGCUCCGCUGCCUGGGCUGCAACGAGAGAGGCGAUGCUGAACGCACUGGCCCGGGGAGACAGCGGGCUCCGCGCGUCCAUAGGCGCCCGGCGGCCUGGCCGGCGCCGCCUUCCACUGCGUGUGCCCAGCCUCACCGCGCCCAGCCCAGCCCACGAAGCCCGGGGGCGGGGGCCUGUGGUGCCACUCACAGCCGGGGGCCCUUGGCCCAGAGGAUUAUGGCGUCAUGGGCCCCCCACUUGGGGUUGGUAGCAGCCUAGGGGCCCAAACGGGUGGAGCACCCUGGAAGUACAGGGCCCUCCUGCUUUCCAAGCUCCCUGCCCCUUUCGACCGUUCCCAGGGACCUCCAUGACCAACGCCCCUUGAACAUCCCGUUGCUCCUGCAAAGGCACGGCUUUCCUCUGUACAGCGAAGCCACCAUCAGCUUCUACAGCCCCCCGAGGAGAGGUGUCUAUACCAGCAGCACCCAGCCCUAGCCCGAGGUGGCAGGGCACCCAUGAAGCACCCAGUGGCUGCCGGGGCCCAGCCCUGCCCCUGCCCUUGGCCCCUCCCGCCUCCACCUCCUCCCUGGCUGCCCCUGCACCUGGGUGAGGAGAGGGCAGCUUGGGCUCUCACACCGGCCACUGGCAGGAGCCCCAGGGCCACAGCGUCCUCUGUUCCUCGGCGCAACAGGAUAGGACCCAACCCAGUAAAUGCCCAACAGCCCCCUGAAGUUGGCUCACUAUCGUCGCUGGAGACCCCAGCGGAGGGACGCUGCCCAGGCUGCGCAGCCCAGGAGCCCAAGCGUCACGCGCACUUGCGCGCACCGCCCGCCUCUGGCCAGGACGCUUAUACAUCCGGAGGGUGGGCAGUGCCCGCUCCUCCGACCUCCCUGCGCACCGGCCGGGUGCAGGGAGGGCCGGGGGCGGGGCCUGGCCAGCCGAGGGAGCCGAGGACACGGGGACAUGUUGGAGAACUUCAGGCCACUGGAUCUGAUGCUGCCCCUCGGCACCCAGCAGCCAGCCUGCCUUCCGGGAGAAGCUCUGUGGCGCGACCAGGCUGGGCAGAGUGAGGCCAAGGCCCGCCCCUCAGCCUGGUUUCUAGGCCCAGGCAUCCCAUACGCCAAGGCCUGACUUGGCCUGUGCGUUCCCCCACCUACUGUAUCCGGGGUCUCCUCUGACCAGUUCAGCGCACCCAUGGCUUUCCUGUCCAGGGUCUCUCCAGCUGGGUGUCAACCCUGGAAUCUCUGUGCCUUGCUGGAGCUAGUGCUGGUGGUCAGGGCCACGGUUUGCAAGGCCUGUCUGUAUACAACCUCAUCAAGUGUAGCCUUCACUUUCGUGUGCUUGGGAUGCAAGUGAGAGGCAGGCAGCCUCUCCCAGAUUUUUUAGGAUCUCAGGGCCUCAGACCCUGGGCUGCAGAGGAUGCUGGCUGGGAACUGGGAAGGCCUGGUAACUGGGGCUGGGGGACUGGGUGCCAGUAGGGAGGCUGGCCCUGGGACUGAGGUCCAGGAAUGCAUGUGAGUCCAGGGCCACAGCGGGUGAGUAUACGAAUAGUGCUGCCUGUCUGGGAUGUGGUGUGUGUCACUGCCUGUAUGGGGUGCCCCAGGUCCUGCCCCUCGCAGCCCCUGCCACCUGCAGCUGGAGCUUUGUGGGCCAUGUCAGAAAAGGGAAGCUGUCCCCAGUGCAUUUCUCUUGCCCUGAGUAGUCAUUCUGGGCCAUGACAGUGACAAUGACUUGUGUCUCUCAGUGUCACUGAGGGGACCCAGGGACAGGUCCAGUGAGGAGUGCUGUGUGGGGAUGGACCAGUUGGUUCCAGGCCCCUUUCCCUCUUCUCUGAGCAGGACCAGUCAUUGCCCCUAGGAGCCGCUCCUGCGGGAAGCGACAGUCUUGCUGGAGGCAGGUGGGAAGGAUGCUGGUGGCCACGGAUUUGGUAGUGUUGCAGGAGACAUGCCUAUGUUGGCGGUCUGCACCCAGAGAGGCCUGGGUUGGUCGGUGGGGGUAUGGGGGUGGGACUCCUGCAUGUGCCCCAGCCUGUGGGUGUGCCCAAGCUUGUGUGCUGUGCACAUCUGCACACACCUCAGGGCAGUGGCCAGAUGUGGGGCCUGUGGGUGAGGCGAACACUGAGGACGGAGAAGUGAAAGUGAAAAACCCUGGGGCCUCCUGGAGACUCUGGGUCAGCCCCUCAAGGAUCGGUCUAGAGGUCCCCAGACCUCUGCGCCUGAGGUAUGUAGGGAGGAGCAGAGUCCUUCCAGCCCCCAUUAACCCCUUAGUGCCUGAGCAGGACCUGAAGGCAGGCGGGGGCGGCCAGCGCCACACAGCAGAGAAGAGGCCGUCAGGGUGGAGAAAACCCUGGUCAACCAGAAGGGCGACGGGAAGAGACACCGCUGCUCAACGCUGGGACCCUCGGGAGCCCUCGGCUAAAGGGGCCCGGAAGCCCUCGAAGCGCGAGGCCGUCUGAGCCUCCAGCCGGAGCCGCCGCCUCCACUGCCCAGCGAGAUAGGGCUCCUCCGAUACUCCUUCCCGCCUAGAGCACCACCCCGCUGCGCUCCACGGCCCCGCCACCCAUCCUCCCUCUUCACCUGCCACCACCCCACCCGCCGUGCCCUCCCGCAGCCCGGAGGGAGAGCACCGGUCGGGUGGCCCUAGCCCCGCACAUGCGGGUUUCGCACGCGAACGCAGCGCCUCGGCACGGCCCGCGGCAAGUGUUCCACCCUCACCUGGCCCGGCCGCGGUUCCCUUCCUCCUCGCUCCCCCUGCCGGCCGCACCUCCACUGCCGCGCGAUAGGAGGCCUGACUGGGAGCUCCCUUGCGUGGAUCAGGAAGGAUGGACCGCCUGGAAUUGCUUACAGCGCCUGCUUGGACACCGCCUCGGGGGUCUCGAGGAAAGCCCACCGCCAGGAGCUGCCCUCACCAUCCUCCCUGCCGCCAUCAGUCGCUCCGCCCCAGGGCCCCAGAGAAGGGCAGGCAGCUGGGGGCCCAAACUUCGCCGGAGCCGGGACAGGCCCGCGCGCCCAGAGGCUCUGCCCUCUCCUCCCGGCUCCACUCCCACCUCUUGACUCCCAGCCCUCUGCCACAGGCGCCAACCCAGCAGCCUUGGCGCUCCCCAAUCGUCCCUCUAUCCCACGAAAGUGCUUGGCCCACAACACUGGCAAACGCGACACUGCGGGUGACCCUAGUGGGCGUGGACGAGCCAAGACCCCAAACCUGGGAGGCAGGCUGGUGGGGCCACAUGCCAGGGUUGCCCACGGGGCCGCUGACCUGUGGCCGCAGAUCCUUAGUCACAUCCCAGCCUCGGAGCCGCGGAAUGGGGAGAAGAACCUCAGGCAGGGAUAGCAGGGGAGGAGCAGGAGCAGGAGCGGGAGCAGGCACGGGCUCGGCGGUCUGCAUCAAAACCGGGGUCGGACAUUCAGUCCUGCAUGCGGAGGCACUGGCAGGAGUGCUCUCUGCCCCAGUGCAUAGGCAGUGGGCUUACAGCCCCUGGGGAGGGUGCUGAGUUAGAACUGGGGGGCUGUGGGGACUCCUGGAGUGGAGUGGCCCAAGCCAGAGCCAGAAUGGGGGCCAGGUCUGCCUCCAGGGAGUCCAGGGAGGGCUGGAGACAGAAGCAGUUUCCUACCCUGCCUGCCAGGGCAGGGCACGUUUGGGUCCACUGCCAGAUCUCCUGUGCCACCGCAGACACUGCCUACGAUGAGGAAGGAGGCUGUUCCUGUUACCCAGCCUGGGGUCUCCAUGGGAGUCCUCCCCAACCUGUGGCUUAGGUGGUCCCACUGCUCCUUGACCUUGCCCUCCCUGGGCUCCUCUCCUCCCUAGUGCCCGCCUCCUGACACGGAAGUCCCCACCAAGCCCGUCCCCACCAAGCCCAUCCCCACGUGUCCUCGGCAUUGGGCCUUUACUCAAACUGCUAGGGUGGUGGGUUACUGUGGCUGGUUCCAAGCUCUGCGGGGUGUGCCAGACAGCAGACAGGAACCCUGCCCAGGAGCUCCAGGCCUGCAGCCAGGUUCCCAGGAAGGGGCCCAGGGCUUGGAGGCGGUGUCCCUGUGAGCCUGGUCAGGCAGCUGACCACAUAGCUGGCAAAGGCCUGGGAGUUAGACACAGCCUGGUGUGCACACCUUGUGGCUGGGAGGACACUGGACAGGAUGAUAGGAGAUGUGGCCCUCUCACCCCGCAAAGGGCAUUCCCUGGGACUCUUCCUAGGCCCCAACGCCACCUGCUCCCUGGUCCCAGAGCAGGGUCUGAUCCACUUCAGAGUCCUAGUGCCUGGACCCUAGGGGACAAAUGACUACAGGAUGGACAAAGAGAACAGCGAGACCCUAAGAGAGGCAGACAUAGGAGGGGGUAACGGGUGGAGAGAAGACUGGACAGGGAGGCACACAGCCCUGUGACACUAGCCUCCUCCCAGCUGGGAGGGGACCGGUCAGGGUCUGCACAGCCAGCCGCAUACAGCUGACCCCCAACCUCCUGUCACCAGGCCUAGCUGUCCCCCUGCAAUUAUGGGUGCAGUGUUCUGGGCCAAGUUCCCAGGAGGACAGAUGUGGGGAGAUGAUGAGAGGGAUGGCUGGGCCGGAUGGGUGAUGGCACCCUCUGUCCCCCGACCUCACCAGGCACCAGGACUCCCUGCAGACUGGAAGUUCCCACAACUCCAGAACAAACAAACAAACAGACAGACUGAUGGACAGCCCAGCCCUGGACCCCUCUCCAAUUUCUGAGGCUGUUGAUUUAGCUGCCCACUUGGUGGGAGGACCCAGCCACAUGGGGAGCUGGCUGUCCAUCUGUCUGUCCAUCUCCUGGCCACACUAGCCCCUCCACCCCAGGUGCAGCUAGGCAGAGGUGAGGUUCUGAGACCCUGGAUGACCUGUAUGCAGGCUGCUGAGGUGGCUGGAUCUCAGCCUGGGGGGCUAGCUGAGGAACCAGUCCCUGCUAGCCCCCUUCCCCUCUGUGGCCCCAGCAGGGGGAGCCACACUUGCCAGGGGAAGGGACUUGUCCCAAAAGACCCUGGAGGAGUGUUGGCUGAGGGUGAGUGGCCAGAAGAUGGACACGUGCAGACACGCCCCUCCAGUUCCUCUGGGCAGCAAGGAACCCUGACUGGACAAUAGCUCCCACUUGCCCAUGUUCAAGGACCCACACCACCACGUGCACACACACUCACGAGCAUGGGCAUGAGUGCAUGUGUGUGUUCACACCAUGUUCCUAUUCAGGCACACAUACAUGGGAGUGUGGGCACAUAUGCCUACACAUGUGAGCAUAUCAAUAUUUGACCGUGGGUACAUGUGUCCACAUGCACACAACGGACACACAGACGUGAGCAUGGGCACACACAGGCACACUGCAUGCAGACACAUGGACUGGGCCCAGACGCACACACGCACACUGUAUGCCUGCAGACACGUGAGCAUGGGCACUCUCCAUGUACACAAACGUGAGCAGGGGCAUGCAUGCACCUCUGUACAUACACAGACACACGUGAGCAUGGACACACACAUGCAUAUAGCAAACACCAACACAGACACCAGUGUGGGAGAGUGUGCACGCACCGGCAUGUGUAGCAGACAUACAUACAGGCACACACAUGUGCAGGCUUGUCACUCACAGUGACCGCUGUAACCCUUCUGUAAUAAUGAUGAUGCUCACAUGCGCCUUGGGUUGACUUGAGUUGGGCGAAGCACUGUGGAAGCUUGCUGCUGCGUGACGAAGGAGGAGUGCAAUAUUUCAGGCCUCUCCUGCUGGGUCGUUCGUGAAGGGGAUGUACUCGAUGAUGGUGUCUGACAGGCCAGGCUGCUUCCUUGGACAUUGAUACUGGAAGAGACUCUCAAGACAAGAUCGCUCUACAGGGAACCUUCUGGGUGGAACUCCCUGGGAGGCCACUUUCCAUGCUCAGACCCCAACCCUGAAUCCUGCUUGGUGGUGAAUGAGCCCCGGGAAGCUCUGAGAAGGAAGGCUCUGGGGACAAGGCCAGAGGCAAUGAGGAAUGACAGCUAAGCUGGUGACCUCAGCACCUUUGUUAAUGGGUCCUAACGAGGCCAUGCCCCCAUAAACAUUGGAUAUGUCGUAUCUCUCUUUAAAGAUGCUCUAAGCAUUUAAAGUAAUCAAAUAUAUCACACUUGCAGUUUUCA
This is a non-coding RNA of Macaca mulatta (Rhesus monkey), 6648 nucleotides long. NCBI's taxonomy places the organism in Eukaryota, Metazoa, Chordata, Mammalia, Primates, Cercopithecidae. The record is from RefSeq and is a predicted model, not a curated record.